UUUUUUUUUUUUUUUUUUGAGACAGAGUCUGUCACCCAGGCUGGAGUGUAGUGGCGUGAUCUCGGCUCACUGCAAGCUCCGCCUCCCGGGUUCACGCCAUUCUCCUGCCUCAACCUCCCCAGCAGCUGGGACUACAGGUGCACACCACCACACCCGGCUAAUUUUUUGUAUUUUCGGUAGAGGUGGAGUUUCACCGUAUUAGCCAGGAUGGUCUCGAUCUCCUGAUCUUAUGAUCUGCCCGCCUCUGCCUCCCAAAGUGCUGGGAUUACAGGCAUGAACCACCGCGCCUGGCCUGAUAGUUCCAAUCUUCCUAAAAAGACGCAAAGACAAUCACAAGACAGCCCUAUCUCCUCCCUGAAAAAUGCCCAAGAUGGAUAGUUUCAGACAGAGGGCACCAGUCCCCAACCCACCCCUGGCUCUGCAACCCUCACAGGCCAAGGAUACAAGUGACCCCUAGCCCCAUUCCCCAUGCAUCGCUGUGACACAGGGUCAUGGUUAUAAGGCCCCAUAAGCCAACAUCCUCCAGGAGGGAUUCGAACUCUGACCAGAGGCUGAGGCGAUGGCGCCAUAUUAUUAGGACCUGGGCUGUUGAGAUGCCUGUAGCGUUUUGUCCUAGCCUCUGAUCUGCCUUCCUUGGGGCCCCCAGACAGCCUCUAUCUCAGCACCCCCACUGGCAAAUGUGUCCAAAACCACUCUAAAGCCCAGACAUUAAGGUUUGACUCCCAUUCCAAAGACACACCUUGGCUGGUUACAACCAUAAUGCAAACCUACACCCAAAGUCCAAGGAAGGUGCCAGGCUGAAGAAAAAGACCAACAAAUCAUCUUUCUUAGGAAAAAAACAUUUAAUAGGGACUUAUGAACAGAAUCCGGGUCUGGGUCUCUGGUGGCAGGGGGACAAGAUAGUGGGUCUCCAUGCCUUACUGUCCAGACCCAGGGUCUACAUACCACAGGGAAAGGGUGUAUGUGCUUCAGAAGGAAUGUAUAAGGCACUUGCUUAAGGGCAAGAUUUAUGGUAAAUGCAAUAGCAGCAAGGUUGUUUUGACCUAAGGGCAGAAUUUAUAGUUAGUCUUACACAAGAAACAAUAGAUGAACUGGAACUCUUGGAGGCUGUCCCAGAAGUGGGAUUAAUCAGAAAUCUUUACGACAGAUUAGCAUCCUACAUGGGAUUGCCUUAGCCUCCAAAAAGUCUGUUAGGCACGUUUUGGAGGGGCUGGGUGGCUGCACUCCUGGUCUCCUAAUAACAAGGGCCACCGUCCAAACAGUGAGAGAGAUAAGUAAUGGCUGGGUCAUACUGGUUUCUGGGGUUCUGGCCUCUCUCACAAGAGCCUGAGUUAGCCAGGGGACUGUAGAGCAUAUGGGAGGUGGUCUCUCCAUGUUGACCUGUGGGCGGCAAGCCACCCAGGUGCCAAGGCAAGAGACCGAGGGCACGAGCUGUUCCAGUAUAAUAAAAUAUAUAAAAUAACAAGAGUUAUACUAGAUAUAGAUCAUAGAUAUGAAUAUAUAUAAGUAUCAUUAAUCAUUAGUGUGUAAUAAU
This 1534-nucleotide long non-coding RNA is filed under the name Macaca fascicularis (crab-eating macaque). RNAcentral describes it as "lncRNA (ENSMFAG00000060384.1)". Lineage: Eukaryota; Metazoa; Chordata; Mammalia; Primates; Cercopithecidae. The record is from RNAcentral.